CUCUUUUCUACCAAGCAACUUCUGCUGAAAUUAAUCACAAGCACUGGCAGUAUAAUGACAAGCCUCAACAUAUUCAAACCCCGGAAAACUGAAGAAUAAAAACAGUACCAACAUACUACUUUAACAGGUGGUUUUCAAAUUCCACUUUAAAAACCCAGACACCAUGAUUUAUUUUGAAUGUUAAGGGCAUAAAUGGCCAAUAUUGAAUUCUUUUAUUCAGAUGGUAUCUGAAGGGAAGUAACUCAGCUACUGCAUUAACAGUAGACAGACAGUGUGGCCGUUUCCAGACCCAAACCUGAAGACAUUAGCAGUUGCCAACUUAUCAUCAGGGACACAUAUUCUUCCACCCCAGCUGCCAUGCUCUGGAGAAACAACAAUGUGGCUCCACAUGGUCCCCUGGUCACAGUCAAGUGUGACCCUACCCCUCACCACCAAGUUUGAAGCACUGGACUUCUGCAAGUAAAUACUCUUGCUUAUGGCUGAAUCCUCCAUUUCAAGUGAAGUUGCUUUUGUGGUUUUAUGGGGCUUUUUUAAAACCUUCUGUUAUAUGUACAAUAAAUUAAUGUA
Sorex fumeus (smoky shrew) is the source of this 567-nucleotide long non-coding RNA. RefSeq lists it as uncharacterized. NCBI's taxonomy places the organism in Eukaryota, Metazoa, Chordata, Mammalia, Eulipotyphla, Soricidae. The record is from RefSeq and is a predicted model, not a curated record. The transcript has 3 exons.